GGUCUUGAUCUCCUGACCUCGUGAUUCUCCCACCUCAGCCUCCCAAAGUGCUGGGAUUACAGGCAUGAGCCACCACACCUGGCUCAAGCAUUUUUUUAAGCCUCAGAAAAAAGGUACUUAUACAGUGGGGAAAAACAACAUAAUUUUAUAUGUACAGUACAUUUUUAACUGGAAUAUGCCUGAUUUCUUAUGAAGUAUUGUACAGAUAUUUGGUAGCACACUGAGUAUUUUGAGCUGAAUUGAUUAACUGAUGAGAUACAUCUUUGAAUAUAUAUAUUUUUCUUUCAUCACACAUUCCAGUUGGAUAUUCAUUUUCAAACAGCACCCUUGCAAAGUCUAGGCAGAUAUUCCCUCCCCUCAUUAUUUUUUCUAGGUACACAGUCUAUCUAUAAACCAUGUAAGACAAAUACUACUAGCAUUCUAUUUUACAGAAUUAACUCUCAUUAUUGGAGAACCAUUCCAAUUAGUAGUUAAGAUGAGAGACACCUGUUCUUCAGGCGACUGCCAGCAGGGAUAAAAGGCAAUACUUGUUGGAUGGAUUUUAAAAACACAGAGAUGAUGUUGAAAGCAACCAUAGUGGGUAAAAAUGGUUAUUUUGAAAACUCAUUAACCAGCUGCCAUGGAGUGUUCAGUUGAUUGAUUUUACUAUUUUUUAAACAAGAUUUUUGAUAUCAGUAUAGCCAAAUAUCUGAUUUUUUAAGUUCUUUCUGUAUGUGACCAUGUAAAUCUAAUAUCUCUAAAGCUAUUUUCCAGUCAUGAUAUGAAGAUUUAUGCAUAAGUACAUCCAGUUUGAAAGUUACUGUGAUCUCACUUGUUUCCAGGAAGUCGCUGCAACAAGGAGGGGUAAAGCCUAAAUUGCUCCAGGGCAAUGUGAGUUAUGUUUUACUUUUCAUCAUCAUUUGGAUGCUUUCAAAUAUAUUACCUCAGACUCUUUGAUGGUCAGAACUGGCCACAGAUGGGUCUAUUCAGUUGAUCUUCAUCAUCCAUGCUUUUUCUGGAAUUCUUUUCUCCAUGCGUAGGGUUCCUUUCUUUAUAUCUUUUUCUUUAUAACAAUUGUUUUAUCUUAUUGCAAGCUCCUGCAGCGAGAAGCCCUGAUUUGACAAGUCAUGUAACAUGGCAUGAAAUCCAGGAUCCGGGGGGAGAGCAGGACACAGGUGGCCACCAAGUGUGGCCUCAGCCCCUGUGCUCUUUCAUCCUACCCUGGUGCUUCUCAGCCUGGUUCAAAGCUUGGGUCAGGUUCGAUGUUCAAUACGUGAAGGUGUGUCUCCACGUGAAGAUGCCUUUGCAAUUUUGCAGUAUGCCUCUUGCUUUUCACUCUCAGCCUAGCCCCUUGAAAACUGUGUUGCUGACUUAGGCACUUCUUAUAUCAAGUCACUCCAUUCACCUGUUUUCUUACUGUCACAAGAGUGGAUCUGAUCUCAGUUUGUUUUGGGAAUAGAAGACAAACUUACAGUCUUGUAGUUUCUUUUCUUACUCUAUAAAUAGUGAUUCCACUGUUCCCCCUACUGCAUAGUGUUUCUCUCCUGUUACUGGAAUUCUUGAUGCUUUAGUGACUGAAUUCUUUUUUAUUGCAUUUGAUACUUGUUCCAGCAUGGUGUUCACCGAGUCUUAUUUCCAUACUGAGAAGAUCUGGUUUCAGAAGCACAUCAGGUUUCCUUAGAACAUCAACCCUCAGCUGAUUCAUUGUUGCAAGUGUCUAAUCAAGGGAAUGGAAGAUGAGGAGAAUGGUGGCUCUGGGAAUUUACUUUCGUUGUGGACCAGACUUUUUCUCAGCUAGGAAAAAGGGCUUGCCUGGGCUAGGAGCUAUGCAGCGGGCCGCAUUAUAGAAGACGUUCAAUGGGGUUCAGAGACACAGAACUCCACAGGACUCCCAGUUAAGAUGGAGGGGAAAUUACCUUAGGAAAGUCUGAAUCACUUUCCCCAGAGGUGGGAGGUAAGUGCCUGCUGGUGCCAGGUGCUUUUGCUUUACUUCUCACAGCAGAGUAAACAUUCAUGGAGGGAGAAAACAUGGGCUUGGAAGUCACAGAGCCUGAGUUUGAAUCUUGGUGCUAUCACUUGGUAGCUGUGUGACCUUAGAUAUGGAACCAAAUCCAUCUGAGCACCUGUUUUUCCAUUUGGAAAAUGGGAUAAUACAUGUCUUCUUCAGUUUCCAUGAGGUGUAGAAGGGAUGUAAGAAGCACUUGAUACAUGACACCUACUCAGUUGAUUUUCCUCUCCUCUAAGCCAUCUAUUACGCUUUCCCAGUCUCCUUUCCUCAAGUGCCAAGUGUCUUCAUGUUGCCCUCCUGAGUCUCAAGUCUUACACUCUUGCCAGACUGUUUCUCUGCUAUGUCCUCAAGUCUUCAGAAUGACUCUUUCCUUUCCUCCUCCAAUAAUAACCUCCCCUUUCCAACGUAGCCAGGCUCGAUGUUGCCGUUACCAUCUAAUUAAAGAAACUGAUGCUCCUGGUGAACUUGACAGGGCAAAGCCUCCCAGAUGCUCAUGCUUUGCCCUUUCCAGUCUGCAAAGGAGCCGAU
Piliocolobus tephrosceles (Ugandan red Colobus) is the source of this 2515-nucleotide long non-coding RNA. RefSeq lists it as uncharacterized. Lineage: Eukaryota; Metazoa; Chordata; Mammalia; Primates; Cercopithecidae. The transcript has 3 exons. The record is from RefSeq and is a predicted model, not a curated record.